AGGCUCUCUGCUGGGUGCCAGGAACGCAGCACUGACCACGACAAAGCCCCUGCCUUAGAGAGAUGACAUUUCAGUAUAAGGACAGAGACGGCAAAUGGACAAGCAAGUGAAUGAAUGUGUCAGGAAGCAGUGUGGCUGGGAAGAAAUACUUAAAAGCAGGGCAAGAGAAUAGAGCAUAUUGGCUGCCAUUUAGGCAGGAAAUACCUCUUGUGCUGACAUUUGAAGUGAAGGGACAGCCAUAUUUAUGGUCAAUGUUACAUGGGAUGGCAAAGACUUAUCCUUCACUGAGGAAGGCUACCAGGUGCACCCCAGGCUGGUGGUGAUUGUGCUGAACAAAGACCGGGAAUGGGAAAAGGUGGGCAAGUGGGAGAACCAUACGCUGAGCCUGAGGCACGCCGUGUGGCCCAGGUACAAGUCCUUCUCCGACUGU
RNAcentral lists this small RNA (430 nucleotides) under Pan troglodytes (chimpanzee). Its description in RNAcentral is "processed transcript". The record is from RNAcentral. Lineage: Eukaryota; Metazoa; Chordata; Mammalia; Primates; Hominidae.